AUUGAACGCUAGCGGCAUGCUUUACACAUGCAAGUCGAACGAGUGGCGGACGGGUGAGUAAUACAUCGGAACGUGCCCAGUAGCGGGGGAUAACUACCCGAAAGAGUGGCUAAUACCGCAUACUAUUGGAGCGGCCGAUGUCGGAUUAGCUAGUUGGUGGGGUAAAGGCUCACCAAGGCAACGAUCCGUAGCUGGUCUGAGAGGACGACCAGCAACACUGGGACUGAGACACGGCCCAGACUCCUACGGGAGGCAGCAGUGGGGAAUUUUGGACAAUGGGCGCAAGCCUGAUCCAGCCAUCCCGCGUGUAUGAGAAGGCCUUCGGGUUGUAAAGUACUUUUGGCAGAGAAGCGGUAUCUGAAGAAUAAGCACCGGCUAACUACGUGCCAGCAGCCGCGGUAAUAC
RNAcentral lists this ribosomal RNA (405 nucleotides) under uncultured bacterium. RNAcentral describes it as "partial 16S ribosomal RNA". It matches the Rfam family "Bacterial small subunit ribosomal RNA", at positions 30 to 526 of the family's 1533-position model. The record is from RNAcentral.